RNAcentral lists this transfer RNA (73 nucleotides) under Ailuropoda melanoleuca (giant panda). It matches the Rfam family "tRNA". From Rfam's summary of the family: Transfer RNA (tRNA) molecules are approximately 80 nucleotides in length. Their secondary structure includes four short double-helical elements and three loops (D, anti-codon, and T loops). The record is from Rfam by way of RNAcentral. Lineage: Eukaryota; Metazoa; Chordata; Mammalia; Carnivora; Ursidae.
GCCUGGCCAGCUCAGUUGGUAGAGCAUGCAACUCUUGAUGUUGGGGUCAUGAGUUCAAGCCCCAUGCUGGGCG